UUGGUCAUUUAGAGGAAGUAAAAGUCGUAACAAGGUUUCCGUAGGUGAACCUGCGGAAGGAUCAUUAGUGAAUAACAGGACGUUCAAUUUAACUUGAAGUCCGAACUCUCACUUUCUAACCCUGUGCAUUUGUUUUGGUUAGUAGAAUGCUUGCGUUCGAACACCUCUUCAUUUUACAAACACUAAGUCAAAGAAUGUUUAAAUUUUAUAACAAAACAAAACUUUCAACAACGGAUCUCUUGGCUCUCGCAUCGAUGAAGAACGCAGCGAAAUGUGAUAAGUAAUGUGAAUUGCAGAAUUCAGUGAAUCAUCGAAUCUUUGAACGCAUCUUGCACUCUCUGGUAUUCCGGAGAGUAUGUCUGUUUGAGUGUCAUGAAUUCUUCAACCCUCCCUUUUCUUAGUGAAUUGAGAGGAGUUUGGAUUCUGAGUGUUGCUCCUAACCCGAGCUCAUUCGUAAUACAUUAGCAUCCAUAUUCGAUUUCGGAUUGACUUGGCGUAAUAGACUAUUCGCUGAGGAAUCUAACUUCGGUUAGAGCCGUUUUUGAACUAGGAAGCUGCUAAUCUAGCUUAGUCUACCUUUAGAUUAGAUCUCAAAUCAGAUAGGAUUACCCGCUGAACUUAAGCAUAUCAAUAAGCGGAGGAAA
This 644-nucleotide ribosomal RNA is filed under the name uncultured Sporidiobolales. Its description in RNAcentral is "eukaryotic LSU rRNA". The stretch from base 220 to 373 matches the Rfam family "5.8S ribosomal RNA". Lineage: Eukaryota; Fungi; Basidiomycota; Microbotryomycetes; Sporidiobolales. The record is from RNAcentral.